AACGCACCUUGCGCUCCUUGGUAUUCCGAGGAGCAUGCCUGUUUGAGUGUCAUUUAAAUUCUCAACCUUCUCAGCUUUUGUUAGCUGGGUCAAGGCUUUGGAUGUGGGGGUUGCGGGCUUCACAGAAGUCGGCUCUCCUUAAAUGCAUUAGCCAGAACCUUUAGCUGACCAUCUCUGAUGUGAUAAUCUAUCUACAUCAUUGGGAAAGCAGCUCUCAUGUGAGAGAGAGGGUUCAGCUUCUAAUAGUCCUUUACUGGACAAUCUUAUUGACAAUUUGACCUCAAAUCAGGUAGGACUACCCGCUGAACUUAA
RNAcentral lists this unclassified non-coding RNA (312 nucleotides) under uncultured Clitocybe. RNAcentral describes it as "sequence contains ITS2". The stretch from base 1 to 52 matches the Rfam family "5.8S ribosomal RNA", at positions 103 to 154 of the family's 154-position model. The record is from RNAcentral. Lineage: Eukaryota; Fungi; Basidiomycota; Agaricomycetes; Agaricales; Tricholomataceae.